Molecule: long non-coding RNA, 665 nt
Organism: Folsomia candida
Lineage: Eukaryota; Metazoa; Arthropoda; Collembola; Entomobryomorpha; Isotomidae
Exons: 3
Source: RefSeq, a predicted model, not a curated record
UGUGACUUUAUCAAAACCUUCUUCAAAAUCUUCUUAAAAUAAACAAUUAACGGUGGAGACACAUAAAUAUGGAAAUCCAGUUGCUCAAAACAUUUAUUUGAAUUUAAUAAACCGUCGUUUGUCACGGUCCGAAAUAUAAAGUGUUGCGGUACUAAUUGUGAUAAUUCUUGAAACCAAGAAAAUCGUAAUUACUCCUUUCUGCCAAAGCGUCAGGUUCCAGCAGUGGUGUAAAAUUCUCGACAUCGAUAAGGAAAACGUAUCACCUAAAACUGUCGUUUGCAGCAAACACUUUUAGCCACCUUCAAGAAAUUUCUCAAAGAGUUUUACCGACCUCUCCACCCCAUUUGUGUCUUCACCAUUGUCUGUGUCUCCACCGAAAGGGGGGUGGGUUAAUUUAUCCUUUAUAUGAACAAGAAGAUAAAGAUUAGAAAUAAGUUUCACUACAGUUUGAAGUAGAAGAACCAGAACCACAUUCAACUGUUUCCAUUUUCCUUAUAUACUCAAGGCACGAAAAUUAUUGCUACUAUUUAUAAUAAAAUAUUUUGCAACCGGGAAAUUAUUUCGAUGUUUGUAAAAUUAAAGUAAAAUUGUAUUUAUGCUAAAUCAAUUUUUGUUGCAAUAAAUUUGGUUGUAAAUCUGCAUCACAACAACUUUCAGUUUUUAAU